RNAcentral lists this long non-coding RNA (1054 nucleotides) under Monodelphis domestica (gray short-tailed opossum). RNAcentral's name for it is "lncRNA (ENSMODG00000049492.1)". Lineage: Eukaryota; Metazoa; Chordata; Mammalia; Didelphimorphia; Didelphidae. The record is from RNAcentral.
GAAUAGUAUUUUAUGAUUUUACUGUUUUGCAUGUAGUUGUGUUUAUCUUUUGAUUUUUCUAUUAUUUGCUUGUUAUGCUUUUGCAUGUUUUAUCUGUAUUUUGAACUUUGUAAUUGUUCAUUGUAUACUUUCCCCUUUUUCCUCUCCUUGAUUAAAUCUCUAGAAUAGGACAGUAUUAGAUAGGAUAAGAUAGUUGAGUAUAGGCUGUUUAUUAUUUUGAGUAGAAAUUUUAUUUUAAGUAAUAUGUAAGUAAGUUAGUGCACAAAUGCCAAAAUAGUAUUUUCAACACAAUUUCAGCUUUGUGCAAAUGGGGGACUGUAGCAAGGAAAGUUUGCAAAGCUGAUUGGCUGUCUUCAAACCAAGAUUCUACAGAGUUGGCUGGGUCAGCAUUCUGAUACAGUAACUGACAACUGGCUCUCUCUCAAGCUGGGAUUCAGACAGAGAGGAUUUAAGUCAGUCUCCCUGAAGAAAUCAUCUUUGAAGCUACCUGAUUUGGAUUAUCCUCAAGAAAAGGUUGAGUGAUCCAUUGGGAUCCUGAAUUCUAUCUUAUCCAACAGGUUAAACCUUCUGGAAGAUUUGUAUUAUCAGUAUCUGAAUUAUAUGCCCAGAAGAGCAGUGUCUGGCAGCAAAGUCUGCAUCAAAGCUGAAAGUAAACUUGACACACUGAGGAAAUAUAGCUUCAGGACUCUAUUGAGGAAACCAGAAGAAAGCUGUAUUAUAUCUAAAGGGAACUUUGUGAAGAUUCUACAAAUGGGGAACAAAGAAAGGAUUCCCAAUAAUUAUGAGAUUACACCUUUGCUACAUGAGUUAGGUGGAAACUAAGACCCAGAGAAAGGGAAUCACUGACUCAAGAUUUUAAUAGAAGUGAUUGUCAGAGAAGAUGGCCAUGUUGUUGUUCAGAAUAGUCAAAUCUGAAGGACACAUUUGAAAAUCUUAUUUCAGAGACCAGUAGAAGCGGAGGCGGAGAUGUCUCUAACAACUACCUCUCUACUCUGUCUGAAAACACUUAUGUAAUGAAUAAGCCAAUAAAUCAGAGCUGAGUCAAGCUAAACCA